GCAUAGAAUAUUGCAUCAGUAGCAGUAGGCAGAGGGCUUUUCUUAACAAUUUCAUUCUUCAGAUUCUUGACCAGGACUUGGUUGGUGCUUUUCUCAAGCACUGCAAACCUGUUCCGAGCAACAAAAACUGCUGAUCCUCCAGUUCCCCUUUUGGCAUCUUGAACAGUAUCACCCCUACCAUAAGUGUCUUUAGGUAUAAUGUAUAGUUCAUAGGAGCCCCCAUCAACGUCCGAACAGAUCAAAAUAGCAUUCUCAGUAGGACUGUAGGAAAGCGUUCGUGGACCUUGGUUCAGACUGUUUGAACCAGGCCUUCUAAUUGGUAUCAACUGAUUCUCCUUCUGAGUUGAAUACUCGUACACACGGAGAAAUCGAUCCUUCACAUAAAACAAAGAAUCACCGCUCACAGAAAAAGCAGGGCGUUCUCUCUCCAACUUAAACACUAUCAUCCCACUGUCAUGACCAGCUGCUAGAAGAUUCAUCUCAGGAUGAGCUGCAAGGAUCCAAAAUCUGUCAUGCUCCCUGCGGAAAGUCUGGAGACCAGUCCUUUUUGUAGCAUCCCACACUCGAAUGCUCUUAUCCUCUGAAUUGGAAACAAUAAUAUCUUGCCUUGAAUGGAACAAAACACAAGAUACAUUGUUCAUAUGGCCUCUCAAUGUGUCCACCUCCCAGGCCUUUGUAUCAUUCAUCCGCCAGAUUUUCACCUGGCGAUCAUCCGCGCCAGACACAAUUAGGGGCAAUGUAGGGUGAAAUGAAGCCCAGUUAACUCCUCGAUCAUGACCCUCCAAGACAUACUUCACAACAGCAUCUACUCCACCAAAGAAGUCUGUAUUCAUCUGGCUCAAGCGCAAGAUGUCAUCAGCAGGAGAAACAGUUUUCUUCCUUAGAGCACCAAUAUCCCAGACCCGAACAGUCUGAUCCAAAGAUGCAGAGACAACCAAGUCCUCUUUGGGAUGAAAUAGGGCACACAUCACAUAAUGGUUGUGUCCAGUCAAGACAGAAAUACAAGUGCGAGACUGCCAGUUCCAUAUCCUGAUUGUCUGAUCAUCACUUGCACUGACAAUCCAGGGAUACUCAUGAUGAAAUUGGACAGUGCGAAUAUAAUCAAGAUGUCCAAGCAGCGUAAACAAGCACCGAUGCAGCUUAUAAUUCCAGACCUUUAUCUUAUAGUCAUCUCCUCCUGAUACAAAAAGAGGCUGAGACUUGUGAAAAUGAACGCCACGAACAGGACCAUCAUGUUCAUCAAAUCGAUCAAUAAGAGUUCCCAUACGGUAAUCCCAAAGCUGGAUCACACCGCUAUGAAGACUAGCUAAGAUCCAUGGCCUUUUGCUAUGAAAACUGAGCCCUUUCACUCGAUUACUCUUCGUUUCAAACUUCGUCAACAUCUUUCAAAAUUCCUCAAACGCAACAAAAUCAAAUGCUCAAAAAAAAACUAAUUUUGCUGUAUGUGAAACCCUAACUGGAUUUCGAGAUCAAAUUGAACUCAGAUCUGAUCGGAAAACUGCAUUUGAAAUGAAGAUCGGUGAACGGAGAGUGCGUAUGUUAAGGGAAGUUGUCUCUUUGUGUGUGUUUUUUUAGUGUGGCGUUAAA
RNAcentral lists this unclassified non-coding RNA (1587 nucleotides) under Hevea brasiliensis (rubber tree). Lineage: Eukaryota; Viridiplantae; Streptophyta; Magnoliopsida; Malpighiales; Euphorbiaceae. The record is from RNAcentral.